This 460-nucleotide ribosomal RNA is filed under the name uncultured bacterium. RNAcentral describes it as "partial 16S ribosomal RNA". It matches the Rfam family "Bacterial small subunit ribosomal RNA", at positions 338 to 795 of the family's 1533-position model. The record is from RNAcentral.
CCUACGGGUGACAGCAGUGAGGAAUAUUGGUCAAUGGGCGAGAGUCUGAACCAGCCAAGUAGCGUGAAGGAUGACUGCCCUAUGGGUUGUAAACUUCUUUUAUAUGGGAAUAAAGUGAUGCACGUGUGUCAUUUUGUAUGUACUAUAUGAAUAAGGAUCGGCUAACUCCGUGCCAGCAGCCGCGGUAAUACGGAGGAUCCGAGCGUUAUCCGGAUUUAGUGGGUUUAAAGGGAGCGUAGAUGGAUUGGUAAGUCAGUUGUGAAAGUUUGCGGCUCAACCGUAAAAUUGCAGUUGAAACUGGCAGUCUUGAGUACAGUAGAGGUGGGCGGAAUUCGUGGUGUAGCGGUGAAAUGCUUAGAUAUCACGAAGAACACCGAUUGCGAAGGCAGCUUACUGGACUGCAACUGACAUUGAGGCUCGAAAGUGUGGGUAUCAAACAGGAUUAGAUACCCUUGUAGUC